This 253-nucleotide ribosomal RNA is filed under the name uncultured bacterium. RNAcentral describes it as "partial 16S ribosomal RNA". It matches the Rfam family "Bacterial small subunit ribosomal RNA", at positions 524 to 776 of the family's 1533-position model. The record is from RNAcentral.
UACAGAGGGUGCGAGCGUUAAUCGGAAUUACUGGGCGUAAAGCGCGCGUAGGCGGCCUGCUAAGUCGAACGUGAAAUCCCCGGGCUCAACCCGGGAACUGCGUCCGAUACUGGUGGGCUUGAAUCCGGGAGAGGGAUGUGGAAUUCCAGGUGUAGCGGUGAAAUGCGUAGAUAUCUGGAGGAACACCGGUGGCGAAGGCGGCAUCCUGGACCGGUAUUGACGCUGAGGCGCGAAAGCUAGGGGAGCAAACAGG